UACGGAGGGGGCAAGCGUUGUUCGGAAUCAUUGGGCGUAAAGGGCGCGUAGGCGGCCGUCCAAGUCGGGUGUGAAAUCCCUCGGCUCAACCGAGGAACUGCACUCGAUACUGGUCGGCUAGAGUCCGGGAGGGGAUGGUGGAAUUCCCAGUGUAGCGGUGAAAUGCGUAGAUAUUGGGAAGAACACCGGUGGCGAAGGCGGCCAUCUGGACCGGAACUGACGCUGAGGCGCGAAAGCCAGGGGAGCGAAUGGG
This 253-nucleotide ribosomal RNA is filed under the name uncultured bacterium. RNAcentral describes it as "partial 16S ribosomal RNA". It matches the Rfam family "Bacterial small subunit ribosomal RNA", at positions 524 to 776 of the family's 1533-position model. The record is from RNAcentral.